Molecule: transfer RNA, 53 nt
Filed under: Chattonella subsalsa
Lineage: Eukaryota; Raphidophyceae; Chattonellales; Chattonellaceae
Description: partial tRNA
Source: RNAcentral
GGCGAUGGCUCAGUUGGUUUAGCGAUGGUCUUGUAACCAUAAGGUUGAAGGGU